Molecule: ribosomal RNA, 466 nt
Filed under: Vreelandella stevensii
Lineage: Bacteria; Pseudomonadati; Pseudomonadota; Gammaproteobacteria; Oceanospirillales; Halomonadaceae
Description: partial 16S ribosomal RNA
Rfam family: Bacterial small subunit ribosomal RNA
Source: RNAcentral
CCUAACGGGAGGCAGCAGUGGGGAAUAUUGGACAAUGGGGGGAACCCUGAUCCAGCCAUGCCGCGUGUGUGAAGAAGGCCCUCGGGUUGUAAAGCACUUUCAGUGAGGAAGAACGCCUGGUGGUUAAUACCCAUCAGGAAAGACAUCACUCACAGAAGAAGCACCGGCUAACUCCGUGCCAGCAGCCGCGGUAAUACGGAGGGUGCGAGCGUUAAUCGGAAUUACUGGGCGUAAAGCGCGCGUAGGUGGCUUGAUAAGCCGGUUGUGAAAGCCCCGGGCUCAACCUGGGAACGGCAUCCGGAACUGUCAAGCUAGAGUGCAGGAGAGGAAGGUAGAAUUCCCGGUGUAGCGGUGAAAUGCGUAGAGAUCGGGAGGAAUACCAGUGGCGAAGGCGGCCUUCUGGACUGACACUGACACUGAGGUGCGAAAGCGUGGGUAGCAAACAGGAUUAGAUACCCGUGUAGUC